Non-coding RNA from Acanthosepion pharaonis, 112 nucleotides. Lineage: Eukaryota; Metazoa; Mollusca; Cephalopoda; Sepiida; Sepiidae. The record is from the annotation of a GenBank genome assembly.
UACAACCAUAUCACAUUGAAACAAUGGUUCUCAUCCGAUAACCAAAGUUAAGCAAUAUUCAGCCUGGUCAGUACUUAGAUGGGUGACCACUUGGGAAUGCGGGGUGCUGUGA